RNAcentral lists this long non-coding RNA (837 nucleotides) under Homo sapiens (human). RNAcentral's name for it is "HSALNT0319836". Lineage: Eukaryota; Metazoa; Chordata; Mammalia; Primates; Hominidae. The record is from RNAcentral.
UACAUUCACAAAAUUCUAGAACUCGACAUGUAUAAUUCGACAGAUUUUCUCUUCCAACUGAUGUGAUGUAGCAAGAUGAGCAACAAAAGAAGAAUCCCAAGAUAAUCACGUAAUUAUGUUAGGAGAGAUUCUCAGUUCAAUCUAAUCCUGUCUAAACAGGCUGAAAGAAAUUAGUCACUCAGAAUUAUAUAAAAGGCUCUAUUGAGGGAAUGAUACAAGCUUGUUGUGCAAGCCAGAAAUCUGAAUGUAUUCUUUGACAUCUACCACUCUUUUUCACUCUCUCCUUAUGUGGAAAGUACUAUGAAUUUAUUCUCCAAUCAUCUUUUUAAUCUGGACACCUCUGGCCAUUUCUAUUGCCACAACCAUAGUUCAAUUUAUUGUCAUCUCCUAACUGAACUACUGUAAUCGUUUCCUAAUACUCACUCAGAUGAUCUUACUUUAUGUAAUAUCUACUUCACAUACGCAGCUGGAGUAAAAUGUUACAUUACAAAUCUGAUAUGAGAAAAUUACAUCUGGGAGCAUUUUAAUUUACUUUAAUAGAGAGAUUCUUUUGUUAUGCAAAUAUCCCUUCAAUGACCAAAUUGUCUUUCUAAGGGGAUGUCAUCAAGAGGGAAAAGAGCUUAAAUUUAUUGAACUAAAGAAAUAAAGCAAUUAUUCAAGUAAAUAAUUCUGUAUGAAGUGUUUAUGCAUAUGUCUUAUGUAAAAUAUACUUGAUUCUUUCAUAUGCACACUUGAGAUCUUUACGUUCUAAACACCCACAAGUACUCUGAGAGCCUUCAUUUCUUAUCCUGUAAAUAAGUGGGAUUUUUUUUUGUAAAACAAAAAAAUUAAAAACAA